CCUACGGGAGGCAGCAGUGGGGAAUAUUGGGCAAUGGAGGCAAGUCUGACCCAGCAACGCCGCGUGAAUGAAGAAGGCUUUCGGGUUGUAAAGUUCUAUUAUGGGGGAAGAGCAGAAGACGGUACCCCUUGAAUAAGCCACGGCUAACUACGUGCCAGCAGCCGCGGGAAUACGUAGGUGGCAAGCGUUCUCCGGAUUUACUGGGUGUAAAGGGCGUGCAGCCGGGAAGACAAGUCAGAUGUGAAAUCCCGCGGCUCAACCGCGGAACUGCAUGUGAAACUGUUUGUCUUGAGUACCGGAGAGGUCAUCGGAAUUCCUUGUGUAGCGGUGAAAUGCGUAGAUAUAAGGAAGAACACCAGUGGCGAAGGCGGAUGACUGGACGGCAACUGACGGUGAGGCGCGAAAGCGUGGGGAGCAAACAGGAUUAGAUACCCUGGUAGUC
Molecule: ribosomal RNA, 442 nt
Filed under: uncultured bacterium
Lineage: Bacteria
Description: partial 16S ribosomal RNA
Rfam family: Bacterial small subunit ribosomal RNA
Source: RNAcentral